Molecule: ribosomal RNA, 437 nt
Filed under: uncultured bacterium
Lineage: Bacteria
Description: bacterial SSU rRNA
Rfam family: Bacterial small subunit ribosomal RNA
Source: RNAcentral
GUGACGAAGCGACGCCGCGUGUGGGAAGAAGGCCUUCGGGUUGUAAACCACUGUCGGGAGUUAGGAAAUGUAAGGGUGCUAAUAGUAUCCUUACUUGACUAAGGCUCCGGAGGAAGCCACGGCUAACUCUGUGCCAGCAGCCGCGGUAAUACAGAGGCAGCAAGCGUUGUUCGGAAUUAUUGGGCGUAAAGAGCACGUAGGCGGCCUUGUAAGUCAGUUGUGAAAGCCUUCUGCUUAACGGAAGAACAGCAGCUGAUACUGCAAGGCUAGAGUGCGGAAGGGGAGAGUGGAACUUCUGGUGGAGCGGUGAAAUGCGUAGAUAUCAGAAGGAACACCGGCGGCGAAGGCGACUCUCUGGUCCGUAACUGACGCUGAGUGUGCGAAAGCUAGGGGAGCAAACGGGAUUAGAUACCCCGGUAGUCCUAGCCGUAAACGAU